GACGGGGGAUGCAAGCGUUGUCCGGAAUCACUGGGCGUAAAGCGUCUGUAGGUGGUGAUGCAAGUCACUGGUGCAAAACUCUGGCUCAACCGGAGGAAAGCCAGUGAAACUGCAUGACUAGAGUGUGGGAGAGGUAGAAGGAAUUCCCUGAGUAGCGGUGAAAUGCGUAGAUACAGGGAAGAACACCGGAGGCGAAAGAGUUCUACUGGAACACAACUGACAAUGAGAGACGAAAGCUAGGGGAGCGAAUGGG
This 253-nucleotide ribosomal RNA is filed under the name uncultured bacterium. RNAcentral's name for it is "partial 16S ribosomal RNA". It matches the Rfam family "Bacterial small subunit ribosomal RNA", at positions 524 to 776 of the family's 1533-position model. The record is from RNAcentral.